This 549-nucleotide ribosomal RNA is filed under the name uncultured Glomus. RNAcentral describes it as "SSU rRNA". It matches the Rfam family "Eukaryotic small subunit ribosomal RNA", at positions 548 to 1098 of the family's 1831-position model. Lineage: Eukaryota; Fungi; Glomeromycota; Glomeromycetes; Glomerales; Glomeraceae. The record is from RNAcentral.
UUGGAGGGCAAGUCUGGUGCCAGCAGCCGCGGUAAUUCCAGCUCCAAUAGCGUAUAUUUAAGUUGUUGCAGUUAAAAAGCUCGUAGUUGAAUUUCGGGGUCAGCAGGUUGGUCGUGCCAAUGGUAUGAACUGGCCUUGCUGAUUCCUCCCUCUUGAUGAGCCGUAAUGCCAUUAAUUUGGUGUUGCGGGGAAUCAGGACUGUUACUUUGAAAAAAUUAGAGUGUUUAAAGCAGGCAAGCGCUUGAAUACAUUAGCAUGGAAUAAUGAAAUAGGACGUUUGAUCCUAUUUUGUUGGUUUCUAGGAUUGACGUAAUGAUUAAUAGGGAUAGUUGGGGGCAUUAGUAUUCAAUUGUCAGAGGUGAAAUUCUUGGAUUUAUUGAAGACUGACUACUGCGAAAGCAUUUGCCAAGGAUGUUUUCAUUAAUCAAGAACGAAGGUUAGGGGAUCGAAGACGAUCAGAUACCGUCGUAGUCUUAACCAUAAACUAUGCCGACUAGGGAUCGGAUGAUGUUAAUUUUUUAAUGACUCAUUCGGCGCCUUACGGGAAAC